CUCAAAGGAAUUGACGGGGACCCGCACAAGCGGUGGAUGAUGUGGUUUAAUUCGAUGCAACGCGAAAAACCUUACCCACCUUUGACAUGUACGGAAGUUGCCAGAGAUGGCUUCGUGCUCGAAAGAGAGCCGUAACACAGGUGCUGCAUGGCUGUCGUCAGCUCGUGUCGUGAGAUGUUGGGUUAAGUCCCGCAACGAGCGCAACCCUUGCCAUUAGUUGCUACGAAAGGGCACUCUAAUGGGACUGCCGGUGACAAACCGGAGGAAGGUGGGGAUGACGUCAAGUCCUCAUGGCCCUUAUAGGUGGGGCUACACACGUCAUACAAUGGCUGGUACAGAGGGUUGCCAACCCGCGAGGGGGAGCUAAUCCCAUAAAACCAGUCGUAGUCCGGAUCGCAGUCUGCAACUCGACUGCGUGAAGUCGGAAUCGCUAGUAAUCGCGGAUCAGCAUGUCGCGGUGAAUACGUUCCCGGGUCUUGUACACACCGCCCGUCACACCA
RNAcentral lists this ribosomal RNA (500 nucleotides) under uncultured bacterium. RNAcentral describes it as "bacterial SSU rRNA". It matches the Rfam family "Bacterial small subunit ribosomal RNA", at positions 900 to 1404 of the family's 1533-position model. The record is from RNAcentral.